UUGCAUUGCUUGAGAUGGUUGCAGGCAGGCUGGAUAUUCUAGGUUUCCUCCUGGCAUGACUAGGAGAGAAAACCCUGAGUGAUUACUCUUUCAGGUGAAGGAUGAUGUCUGCUUUGCAUUAGCAUUUGCACUCUAACAGGGUCCUUUGGCUGUUUCUGAGAGGCUGCGUUAACAGCAUCACCACCAGGCACUUCCAUCUCUGCUUGGUUUUGGUGGUUGCAGCUUUUCCUUUCCACAGUGUCAUGCCCAGAAUAGAUUCCUUUUAAUGUUCUUUUCACCCGUCUGACACAAGUCACUCAGAAUUUUUUCUAGUGCAGGCUGGAGCUGCCAGCUCCCUUAAGGUAGCUUGCACCUGGAGCUGCACAGCUGUACCCUGUGGAUUUAUAUAUGCUUCCAGUUUGCUGACUGCUGUUGAAAAUGCCAGUUUGGCUUUGGUCUCCUGACAGAACUGAACCAGCAGCUCACCACAUGUCAGCAGUGCCUCAGUCAAUCAGGAGCACCGGCAUGGCUGAGGGCAAGGUCUGUGCUGUAGGGGCUCCUUACGCUGAAAUUGGCUUUUUAUUUUUAAUUUAGUGAAGUGCAGAUGUGACUUACUUUGGAGAACAAUUGCACCAUCUUUUCCCCCACACAGGCCUGGAGAUGAUACAGUGUUUGAGUGAUUUUAAAUAGCUAAUGAACUUAUAAAAUGUAUUUGAUAAAUUGCUCCAAUGAUUUUUGAAGGCUUUAUGGAUGUGCAGAAAGAUCAAAACAUAAGCCCUUUAAUGAACUUCAGUAAUGAAAAAGGGAGUGAUACUAUUCUUAAGCUGGUUGCAGCAUAUAGUAAGCUUUCCAUAUGAUACAUUCAGCUGCUGCAAUUGUUCCUUAUUCCGAUAUUACUGGGGGAAAUGAAACUAAACAGGAAGACAGGAAUACCUGCUGACAGUCCAGUAAUGAGCAUAAACUGAAACUGAGGGAAAGGAAAAAAAAAAAAAAAAAGGUCACUUGGUUCAACUGCAGACUGGAAAGUUGAAGAGGAAGGGAAGUACAAGAAAGCAGAACAAAAUGUACUUAUUUACACAGGUGAGGUUGUCAUAAAUUUAAUGUGUAACUAAGAUAAAGGGAUUAAACUUAUUAUCUCCCUUUACUUGAUUGUAAAACUUGAAAUCACAUUACCUUUCCAAAGUUUUACUUUCUGUGCUCAUUUGCUCAUCUGUUAAGGAAGUGAGGUCAAAGGUAGCUGCUUGUUACUUAAAAUGGAUUUUUUUUUUUUUUUUUUUUUUUAAUUCUAGUAAGCAACUCACUGAGUUGUGAGGAGGGUGAUGCUUCCUGGGCUGCCCAGUGGUUUUUCCAGGUAACUUUGAGAAACUUGUCACACCUGUGCUUUGUCAGAGGUACAAGAGGUACCCUAACAAUAUAGGAAGGCAUUGAGAUUGACUGAUGAAGUCAGUGUGUGAGUGAUGCAGUGUUGUCUGAAGUUCCUCUCUGCAAAACAGUCGUGUCAACUUUCUUUUCAGAUCACUGCUGGUAACUCGGUUUUUAUUAGCAAUCUCUCGAGAAUGUAAAAACACAGGUGCAUGUUACAAGAAAGGAAAAGUCAACACAGAUACUUUUCAAAUAUGAAGAAAACCCUAGAUAUAAAUACAGCUAUUUUUCUAACAGGUUCAGCUGAAAUUUUCACAGUACUGAGAUGCAUGUGCGCACAUGUCUGGGUAGCAUAUGAUACGGGUACGCAGACUGGUGGAGGCCCCGAGCACUCGAGGGCUGCUGGAGAGGAAGGCUGUAGCAGCACAAAGAAGCUUCCAACUCCCCAUCUGGAAAAAUCCCCCACAGGAGCACAGGCAAUGGCAAUGCCAUCUGUCUGUCUUCUGCAGAGCAGACCUCCUCUCCUGGGAGCAGAAAAAAAGCUGGCACAUGGAGGUGGGCUUUCACUUCCCUGCUGCACGGAGGUUGGAUGCAGAUUGCUGGGCGUUACCUGUAGAGACCAGGCUGCUCUGUUCUGUCCCCACUCCCUUAUUUUAGUCAGUUCUGUCUGAAUUCCAGUUCUCUUUAUUUUGCCUUUUUCCUUAUGACACCUUCUUCCUUCCCUUCUCUUCCCAGCAGACAACAAUGGAUUCCUUCCUCCUCCUCUCAUUCUUUUUUAUGCCGACUUGGCCUGUUUCUGAUCUUCUGCAGUCCUUUCUAGAGGUGUGUUAUGAACUGACAUAGUAUCUCUUUAAAUAAUUACUUUAUCUUGGGCAGUGUCCUGAUGCUGGAUGUUCCUUGGGUCACUGUGGAGACUUCAGAGACUCAAUAUAUAGUUAAGCUCCCUUUUAAAUAAUGAAAGGAAGCUGCAAGACCCUCUUAACCUUGGUGUCUCAGACAAGUGCAGAUUUAAUGAGCAAAAGGAGGUAUGGUAGUUAAAGCCUGUAGUGUAGUCCUUCCUCUUCCCAUCAGCACUAUCUGCAUGGGUCAGGACUGGUCUGGGUGUGGGUGACUUUACUAGAAGAUACAAAAUACUGAAGACAACCAAAUAUUUGACUUUAGGGAUGGGUGUAUUAGCUUGUUUUGGAUACUACAGUUCCUUAAUGUAGCAAAGCUGGGCGAGUUGAAUUUUGUCAUCUGACCCAAACCUGUAGGACCACUUUACAUUACAUUGUCUAUAUGAACCUAAAUCCCUAAGUUUCCUGUAGAAUCUUGAUUGGUGUAUUUUGGCAUGAAAUACUGGCCUAACCAAAAUAAAGAGAAUGUCUCCCAUUGAAUUUUAAAGUGAUUCCCUAUUCCCAUUGGUAUUUUUCAUAUCAAUUCUGCUCCAGAAGCACAAGUAGAAAUUACUAGGGUAUGAAGAGGAGGUAACUGCCCAGUGCCUUUCAUCCUUCUAACUCUACUAAAGAAAUAAGAAUGUGUGGAGUCAGUUGCUUUCCAAAAAAAUAAUCUGGUCAUCCCUUACUGAGUGGCAGCCAUUUCUGUUCCAGGGCAUCCCUAAAUUUGUGUCAUUUUCCAGCUGAUAAAUGUCAGAAAGCUGGGGAAAGCAAAAUAGACCAUUUCUCUGCCCUUUA
Long non-coding RNA from Harpia harpyja (harpy eagle), 3014 nucleotides. RefSeq lists it as uncharacterized. The record is from RefSeq and is a predicted model, not a curated record. The transcript is spliced from 2 exons. Lineage: Eukaryota; Metazoa; Chordata; Aves; Accipitriformes; Accipitridae.